This 67-nucleotide transfer RNA is filed under the name Cichlidarus nyanzae. RNAcentral's name for it is "tRNA-Leu". The record is from RNAcentral. Lineage: Eukaryota; Metazoa; Platyhelminthes; Monogenea; Gyrodactylidea; Gyrodactylidae.
AUAUUAGUGUCAGAGGUUAUGAGUUGAUUUUAAGCGUCAAAUACAAAGUUUAAAACUUUCUAAUAUU